UGCAGUCGAGUGCGCGUCCCGGUAGCAAUACCGGGAUGGCGCACGGCGCACGGGUGCGUAACACGUGGGUAAUCUGCCCUCUGAUGGGGAAUAACCCGCCGAAAGGCGGGCUAAUACCGCAUAACAUUCCUUGGACUCCGGUUCGAGGAUUCAAAGGCGUAAGUCGUCGGAGGUGGAGCCCGCGCACGAUUAGCUAGUUGGUGAGGUAAUGGCUCACCAAGGCUAUGAUCGUUAGCUGGUCUGAGAGGAUGGCCAGCCACACUGGAACUGAGACACGGUCCAGACUCCUACGGGAGGCAGCAGUGGGGAAUCUUGCACAAUGGGCGAAAGCCUGAUGCAGCGACGCCGCGUGGGGGAUGAAGCUUCUCGGAGUGUAAACCCCUUUCGACCGGGACGAAUGCCCGCAAGGGACUGACGGUACCGGUAUAAGAAGCCCCGGCUAACUACGUGCCAGCAGCCGCGGUAAGACGUAGGGGGCCAGCGUUGCUCGGAAUUACUGGGUGUAAAGGGUUCGUAGGCGGUGUGGCAAGUCGGGAGUGAAAUCUCUGGGCUUAACUCAGGGGCUGCUUCCGAAACUGCCGUGCUAGAGUGUGGGAGAGGCGCGUGGAAUUGCAGGUGUAGCGGUGAAAUGCGUAGAUAUCUGCAGGAACACCCGUGGCGAAAGCGGCGCGCUGGACCACUACUGACGCUGAGGAACGAAAGCUAGGGGAGCAAACAGGAUUAGAUACCCUGUAGUCCUAGCCCUAAACGAUCAGGACUUGGGGUGCCACCCGUUCGGGUGUCGUCCCGGACUAACGCGUUAAGUCCUGCACCUGGGGAGUAUGUCGCAAGACUGAAACUCAAAGGAAUUGACGGGGGCCCGCACAAGCGGGGAACAUGUGGUUCAAUUCGACGCUACCGAGGAA
This 905-nucleotide ribosomal RNA is filed under the name uncultured bacterium. RNAcentral describes it as "bacterial SSU rRNA". It matches the Rfam family "Bacterial small subunit ribosomal RNA", at positions 56 to 968 of the family's 1533-position model. The record is from RNAcentral.